This is a long non-coding RNA of Gavialis gangeticus (Gharial), 3238 nucleotides long. RefSeq lists it as uncharacterized. The record is from RefSeq and is a predicted model, not a curated record. NCBI's taxonomy places the organism in Eukaryota, Metazoa, Chordata, Crocodylia, Gavialidae. The transcript is spliced from 3 exons.
UCUGUGAAUCUAUGAGCCAUCAUUAUGCCUUUUGGGUGCCAUUAGGGUGCUUCACCUCCACCACUAUAGCUCAGUCCCAGCAAAACAGAGCAAGGUGGAGGAGGGUAGAUAGCUUGAAACUACCUAUUACCAGCUAAAGUUGCUUAGGUAACAAUGGUUCGCUUGUGAAUAGCAGCGUAAUUAUAGUGGUGCCGGUUAGGCUACCAGUUGUCUGCCUAUUCAUGAUAAGGCCUAUUCUUUAGGGGCUGCUGAUAACUCUUCUAUAAACAAAUGCUCCAGUUUUAAACUAAACAGGCCAAGGCAAAACUGAAAAAAAUAGCGUGCACAUGAGAAUUAUUUAAUCCUGUUUCAUAUUUUUGGGAAAACAGAAUGACUUUAGCUUCUUGGGUCUGGUUUAUUUUAACAUUCUGCAAGUGCAAAAGGAAUGAAAAAAAUGUUUAUGAAAUAAAAAACCUCUGAUUAAAAAACCCCAAAUCUCUCUCUAGUUAGUCCAAUUAUAAUCAAACUCUUUAAGAUUACAUAGAAAUAUAGUAGAGAUGUUAACAAUGGUAACUGAACAGCUCAGUGUCUGUAUAGGUAGUGCUAUCUACAGUGUCUUAGCAAGCAGACUUUCACAAGUUGGCAAGUACCAACAGCCAAAUUAACACAAUACACUGUAAUGGCUCAGAGCAAGCCAAUGGUCUGAGAAGGACCACCAAGAACUUGCCUGACAGCCCGCCCCCCAAGGGCCCUGGAAGGAGACCUUAUAAUUCAUGGCAUAAAUAUGUGUUUUCAGCUGCAGAACAGCAAUUUAAGCAAUGGACAGUAAAGUUGUCAAGAGCAGCAAUUCCAGUCAAUACAUGCAUGAUUUUGAUCAAAGGGAUUUAUCUGGAUAAGUAUCCCAACAUUUUACAUCUCUAUCUAAGCCAAAAUAAAUAUUGAAUGUGGAACAAAUGUUUUAGUUAAUUUUAUCCUUUAACCAUUAUUCAGCAUUUCCCACAAUUCCCAAAGGCUACACUUGCACUAAGACUUGCACUCCAUUGCACUAUGCAGGACUGUUUUUUUCUUGGGGAUAAAAAGGGGAGAAGUGCAUGCUCCAUAGACAUGAAUGAAAUUUGCAGAGAGGAGUCAGGCAUGUGGGUGAACUUUAGUAGAAAGUAGUCAGAAGAAAGGCUCUUUAGUUUAAACAUGCAGGUUUCCAGAAUUCCAUUUCCCCCUUUACAUAUUUGUACAGCCAAGUGUUUUAAGGCCUAGCUAUCCCCUUGAACAUGAAGGAAGCAUGAAUGGAAGUUACAUGCUCACAUCAAACACAAAAUAGAAAACUCUGUGUUUGAAGUUGUGGAAGUGAUCAACAUAAGUAAAUUCCUGAGAUCCCAGAGCAGAUGAAUAUAGCAGAGUGGGGCAUAGGCUUUUUUAGAAGUUGAACACACUUCCAGGCCCAAAGCACCACCAAUAAAUGUGAUGACAAAAACCCCUUGCAUGUCAUACAUAUCCUAGACCAUUGUAGCUACAGCAGUUUUCCAACUCUACUAUAACUGAGCGAGUAAUUUUUUAUAUUGUCUGAAGUAGCCUAAUGUUUGGAGAAACUCUAGCUCUUUCCUGAAGAUUUUAUUUAUCCCCAAUGAAAAGAAUUAGGCUGAGAUGGAAAAUGAUGACAAGAAACUUGAAAAUUAUUCAAAGUUAUCCCUAUACAAUGAUUAUUGUUUUAAAUAAUUAGUUUAGUAUUUUAUUUUCAACCAAAAAUGCUUGACUAGAGUAAACGUACACGGCCUGGGCAAAUAAGCUAAUAUGUGGCUUACAAAUCACAAUAGUAAGGCACUGUCUGUGUUGUUAGGAGAAUAUUACUUUUUUAUAUGCUUGCAUAUAACAGAACAUAUUUUUUUCUCACAAAGAACAGGAGGAGGUAUUAUAUAAAUAGUAUUGAAUACAGUCCAAAUUGCUGGUUGGAAUUGGAGAAUGAUCUAUAAAUAGGUAUGUAGCAUAAUAGUAAUUUUCUAUUUCAUUGUACUGAAGCUGCUGAAAACUGUUGAAAGCGUCUGGUUACAGAAUCAUAAAUUCUGCAAUUACAAUUCAUAAAUUAGACUGAAGUCUUUCUCUAACGGCUGUGACUGAAGUCUGUCCUUGGGAGAACACGUGGAGCUCCUACUGACUUUGAUGCGUGUGCAGUGGAGUGCUUGUCAAACUACUGUUUCAAAGGGAGAUUGAUAUUGACCUGGCUCAAAUUGUGAGUGCCAUUUUGCAUGCCACGGGACUUGGAUACAAUACAAUUUUCCAUGCACAACAACUUAGCCUCUUGAACACAAAAUGCAUUUACAUGCCGGGUGAGUAAUUUGGUAUGAUUUAGAUCCACAAAGGAGCCAUGUCAAGGUAAGCGUGGACAUUUGGUUCCCUGGGGACUAGUAGCAAUAGCAUACCCUGUGAUGUUGCUGCUUGUCCCCAGGGAAUGCCUGUGCCACGUGCAUUCUGGCGUGUGGCAGGUUACCUCAGGUGGGGUAGGGAAGGCUGGGACCAGCAUUGGUACUGGUUCCAGCAGACAUACCUGGAGUCCUGGGAGCCAGAGAAGCUGCAGCCACAGUGCUCCUAGAGCUGGGAGCCUGCUGGUGGCCGGAGUGUGGCUCUGACUGGCCAGACUCCAGUUCUGGGCAGUGCAAGUUGCUGCCAUGUGCGCCACCCUGCUUUUUUCUCUGCGCAGGUUUUUCUGACCUUGAGAUACUAGCAGCAUGGGGAAUGCCUGACUGUGUCGUGUGUGGCGCCGCAGACAGGUUUCUGGCACUGCAUACUGCAAAGCCGUGCUCAUCUGGACGCAGCCAGAGUUUCCAGAUUUAAUUGUAUUUAAUUUAUUUAAGAGCUGCUGCCUUUCUUGAAGGUGGGCUGGCUGUAAAAGAACCAUACAACAGUCAGGAACGUGCUAGGCCUCUGCUUCUGAAUUAAAGCAAGAGACAUUGGGGAAGGCUUCACUCGUUCUUUUUUUUACAUCUUAAAUUUUUAACUUUUUAACAUUUUAAUUUGAUUUUCUAAUGUCUUAAACUUCUACAUUUCUUUAAGACAAGGAUCUGAUUUUCUUCUUGCUUAUGCCAGUAAAAAUGGAGAAUUGCUUCACUGAGAUCAAUAAGGUUACACCAGAGUAAAAUAGGUGUUAGUGGGUGCAGCUACAUGUCCUAUUCGCAUGAUGAAAUAAAUUCUGGCACAGUUUGCACCUGAGUCAGCUGCUCUUGAGUGCAGCAUCUGCACAUGAGCCUGGGACCGCAACAGUUUGAGC